CUUUGGUCAUCCUAAUCCAGAGAGAGACAUACCUCAGGCAGUGAGUCGAUGAACUGGUGGAUGUUGGCCUCCCUGGCGGCCCUCACGAUCUCCUCAUGAGACACGACACGGCUGUUGUCUCCGUAGGCGAUGUUCUCGGUGAUGCUGCAGUCAAACAGGAUGGGCUCCUGGGACACAAUGCCCAGGUGGGCGCGGAGCCACUGGACGUUGAGUUGUUUUAUUUCUUUGCCAUCUAGAAACUGAAAGCAAGGGUUCACGGAUCAGCUUCAGGACCAGUAUCAUUCAGAUUUAGCAAAAAUCACCACCAUUACUUCAUACUUUACAACUGGGGCUGCCACGAGAGGAAAGAAGUCUUGCUCACUUUACCUUGGAGGUUUAAGGACCAAAAAGUCAGUGGCUGGAGAGAUGGUGGCACAGUGGUUAAGAGCACUCACUGCUCUUCGGAAGAUCCUGAGUUCAAUUCUGAGUACCCAUAUGGCAUCUCACACCUGUCUGAUACCGGGAGUGCAGAUGUACAUGCAAGUACCCAUAUACAUAAAAUUCACAAAUAAAUAAAUAAGUCUUAGAACAAACAAA
Molecule: long non-coding RNA, 576 nt
Filed under: Rattus norvegicus (Norway rat)
Lineage: Eukaryota; Metazoa; Chordata; Mammalia; Rodentia; Muridae
Description: long non-coding RNA NONRATT020188
Source: RNAcentral